GAUUUUUGUAUUCUUGAAGUCAUUUGUGUCGAACCAGUUGACAGUAAUAUACGUUAUACGAUGGAUGCAGCUCAGUCAAUGAAGCAAGCUUUGAAGAGUUCAAAACGUCGAAAAGCUGCAAUUGUCGUUGCAAUUCAAGAGAUCAAUAAAAGACUAAGACUUUCAAGUGAACCAGAAAAUACUGUAUCAACUCCAAUUACUAAUGAACAAAAAGAAAAGAGGUCCAACCCAAGUGAAAGCAGUUCCUGAAAAUAGGAAUCAUGAGAUGGAGCUUGAAUUUAAUGAAUUUGGGCAAGUAGUUGGCACUAACUCUGAUAAAUUUGCUAACAUGGUUGGAGCCAUUGUACGAGAGUAUGUGCGUAUUGUAAUUAAGGAUUGGCAGUCAGUAGGUGACACUAAAAAAAAUGGAACUUUGGACUUUCAGACAGGUUCAAUGUGAGUGAUUUCCAUCAAAAAAUGACAUUUCAGCAAAUGGGAAAGUAUUGGAGGACAUACAAAUCAAGAUUGAGAAAAGAAAUCAGAAUUCAAGCGACAUCAUUUGUGAAUAGAACACGCAGUAUUUCCCUUCUUAGACCGAAGAAUGUAAACUCCGAAUAAGCAUGGAAGAAGUUUGUAGAAGAUACUCUUUCUACUGACUUUCAAGAAAAAAGUGCCAAGUUCAGUAAAAUGAGAACUAAUCAGAAGCUUCUACACACUAUGGGUCGAAAGUGUUAUCAACGUACGGCUCACGAUUUGGUGCACAUUCAAACUAUCUUUACUUGGACGUAAAAAAAGGUUUCCAGACAUGAAAGGAUUGAGAACUAGAGUCUGGACUCAUGGACAUCUGAGAAGGGAUGGAAAACCUAUAAAUGAAGCUGUUGCCGACACUCUAAAAAGGAUAGAAGAUUGUGCUCAAUCUAUUUCCGAUACACUAGCAGAAGAUUCAAUUCGAGAUGAUGCUGUUGCUCGAGUUCUAGGUCCUGAACGUCGUGGAAGAGUAAGGGGACUUGGAUUUGGAGUUACACCAUCAAAGGUCAAUGGACAAAUUCAAAGUAAUUCUCGAGUGAGAGAACUUGAAAGCCAACUACAAACGCAAUCAGAAAGGGUUGGAGCACUAGAAGAAAAAGUUGAAGUACUCCUGAAGUUAUCUUAGAUUCAAAAUAAGAAUGUAGAUGACAUGAGUUCACGUGCUUUUACUCCUCAGGUUAUGUAUCUUAUAUUAUUUAUUGUUUGUUCAAUAUAAAUUCAGACUAUAUGGCAUACUAAUUUUAAAAAGAAUAUUUUCAUUUUAUUGUGAAUUUGUAGUCCCAACAAGGAAGUGGUAUCCAGGGAGGGACUACACAUUUGGAAAAUUCAAGGUUUCAAUUAUUGCAUUGGUACCGAUAUAAUGAGGAAGAAAUCGUAGCAGAAGGGAAGAUUGCAUCAACCAACCCAAACGCAAAGGUACAUCACAUGUCACUUGGACGAGAUUGUUGGAAGGUUUGGGUUGAGGAAGUGUAUAUGGGUCAUUUGACCUUAUAUAGACCUACUGAUGAAUUUUGAGUUCUUAGUGAAACCAUGGGAAGUACUGUUGCUUGGCCAAAGAGUAGUGUUAGACUCAUUUGACGAAGUUAUAUGGAGUCGAGCUGAGUUAAGAGAAGAAUUUGAAGUUAAGUUCUCUUAUGCAUGUGCCUUCUUGGACUUCAUUUAUGUAAGCAGCUUGCUUCGGGAUGGCUUAUGGACAAUGCUUUAGCUUUCCUAUUGUAAUUCCUGUAGUUGACUCAUUGUAUAUAUUCUUGACAUAUUUGUUUUUGCUGGUUUGUGUGCUCUCGUUUCUGUAUUGGAGUCUUUAUUGUGUUUUGAAGAAGUAAUUGUACAUGUUUUA
Long non-coding RNA from Olea europaea var. sylvestris, 1843 nucleotides. RefSeq lists it as uncharacterized. NCBI's taxonomy places the organism in Eukaryota, Viridiplantae, Streptophyta, Magnoliopsida, Lamiales, Oleaceae. The record is from RefSeq and is a predicted model, not a curated record. The transcript has 8 exons.